This 119-nucleotide unclassified non-coding RNA is filed under the name uncultured Ascomycota. Its description in RNAcentral is "sequence contains ITS1". Lineage: Eukaryota; Fungi; Ascomycota. The record is from RNAcentral.
CUGAAUGGCCUUCUGGGCCUUCAACCUUGUAAACCUGUGGAAGCAAGAUGUGCUUUGGCGCUUUGGCGCCACUUUUAUGCUUUAACAAGUAUUUGUGUCUGAAUAAAAUACAAGAAAUA